UUACAUCCCUUGAGCCGCGCUGGCCACCGAUGAGAUGCCGUCUUCUCCCACCACGCCACAAUGUCUCUCCUUCCGGUCUCCAUAACCGGCAUCUCCCUCUUCGCUGCCAUCUGGAAGCAGCGCCCUAGCGGUGGACCAGCGCAAUCGACUUUGUCGCCGGUCUCACCAUUGACGCCGCCGUCGACCGUCCUCUGCCUCGCCAUCGAUGACGCCGACGACAGUCAUGACUCAAGAAGGAGGCCUCGCUCGGCCUGGAGUUUGCGACACCUCAGACUCUGUAGGUGCGUGUCCUGGCUACUUUCUGCAGAGGUUUACCGGCCCGGAUUCCGCGAGAGGAGUUCUACUUGCGCAGGCAUCUCAUCGGUGGCCAGCGCGGGAGAGGAGUAGAAGAGAAGCGAUGUGUACCGUGCAGGCUGCUUCAAUACAUAUUGGGGACGAGCUCAUCAUCCGGGAAUCCCUGAAGUCUCGUUCACUUCACUAGCUGGUCGAGCUACUGCUUGGUUGUAAUUCAUCAAAUCGCUUCAGUAGUUCAUUGUGUGGUGAGCCAGAACUGAUUCUUGCUGAACUGAUCCUGUGGUAAGCUUCAGUAGUUCAUCCUGGAUGAGUAGUGCAAGUGCAGGUAGCCAUAUGAAGUAAGAAAGUGCCGUGUUCUUGUUCUAUUGAUGUCACUGAAGUGAUUGUAAUGCACAUAUGCACUCGAGAGAUGCUUGGUUUUCCAGGAUCUUUUUCUCUCGUAGUGUAGUGUAGAGAUGAGCAUAGUGUAGGUGUAGGUAACCAUGUGAACUGAAGUGAUUGAUCAAAAUUCUUCAUAGAGUAGAGUUCUGAUAGAAACGUAUGUGACAUCAAGGGUUUUCUAAAUGAAACCAUUUGUCCUGGUGCAUUUUCUAUUGUCAUAGCACUCUUCAUAUAUCAAAUAUUUUGUAAUUUUCACGAGCAUUAAAACUGCUUAUUAGGCAUAUUAUUAUUUGGCAACCAUGCAUUUAAAUUUCACCUCCAUCCUCUAUGAGCACAACAAGCUGCUCACGAAGGUGAUCAAGUACAAGUAUAAGUCUGCUUUGAUUUUUCCUAAGAAUACACAUAAGUCUGGAUUCAAGGUGUUUGUGCAUAGCCAUACAUGCAUGCAAUAGUAAAUACGUAUUGGUAAAUUCUCACAAGGAAUACAAUCUCGAGGUACUUACUAGUCAUAAUUCUAUAUAUACAGAUGAGAUUGUACUGUGCGCCGCAUCUGGCCUCUUUUGUUACCCCCUGACCGUCGCCCUACUGACAAGCAACAAGGUGAAGCCAUUCUGUCGAUUUCCCUGUUUGACAGCGCCUCAUGGCAUUGGCUAUUGUUUGGAAUGAGUUCUGUGACAUCAGCAACAAGUUCUAGACUAUGCUUCAGGUAGCUUGAGUUUUUUGGAGGGUUGCAUUUACAUUGUCAUUGUCAACCAUUUUACUUCCCUAUAUUUCACGUGAAGUUUAUGAUCAGGAGCUAAUGUGUUGAGUUUGCUGCUGCGACAGAAGAUCAGAAGAAACUUUAUGUGCACCACCUUUUUACUUGUUAUAGCCACCUUGUUACUGUGUAGACGUGUAACUGAUCUUGAAUGUAUGUAGACUUGUUGGAUCUAAACUGUAAUUAGACUUUUUCUGCUCUAUUACCGUGUAAACGUGUAACUGAUGUUCUGUAUAUUUGAUUGCAUUAU
This is a long non-coding RNA of Lolium perenne, 1682 nucleotides long. RefSeq lists it as uncharacterized. The record is from RefSeq and is a predicted model, not a curated record. Lineage: Eukaryota; Viridiplantae; Streptophyta; Magnoliopsida; Poales; Poaceae.